AACGAACGCUGGCGGCAUGCCUAACACAUGCAAGUCGAACGAGACCUUCGGGCUUAGUGGCGCACGUGUGCGUAACGCGUGGGAACCUGCCUUUAGGUUCGGAAUAACUCAGAGAAAUUUGAGCUAAUACCGGAGGAUGUCUUCGGACCAAAGAGUUAUCGCCUUUGGCUGGGCCCGGGUUGGCUUAGCUGGUUGGUAGGGUAAAGGCCUACCAAGGCCGCGAUCCAUAGCUGGUCGGAGAGGAUGCUCCGCCAGACUGGGGCUGCGACACGGCCCAGAAUCCUACGGAACGGAGCAGUGGAGAAUAUUGGACGCUGGGGCAUGGCCUGAUCCAGCCAUGUCGGGUAAGAGGUGAAGGCCGUAGGGUUGUGCAGCUCUUUUAGCCGAGACGAUAAUGACGGUAUCGGGAGAAUAAGCACCGGCUAACUCCGUG
Molecule: ribosomal RNA, 433 nt
Filed under: uncultured bacterium
Lineage: Bacteria
Description: partial 16S ribosomal RNA
Rfam family: Bacterial small subunit ribosomal RNA
Source: RNAcentral